Small nuclear RNA from Pteronotus mesoamericanus, 107 nucleotides. The record is from RefSeq and is a predicted model, not a curated record. Lineage: Eukaryota; Metazoa; Chordata; Mammalia; Chiroptera; Mormoopidae.
GUGCUCUCUUCAGCAGCACAUACAAUAAAAUUGGAACAAUACAGAUAAGAUUACCAUGGCCCCUGCACAAGGAUGAUACACAAAUUUGUUAGGUGUUCCAAAUUUUU